GUCAAGUUUCAAAGGGCUCACGGUGGAUACCUAG
This 34-nucleotide ribosomal RNA is filed under the name uncultured cyanobacterium. Its description in RNAcentral is "partial 23S ribosomal RNA". Lineage: Bacteria; Bacillati; Cyanobacteriota. The record is from RNAcentral.